UAUGUAUGUGUGCAUUUGCAUGUGUAGCACAAUAUAUACACAUUUGCACAUAUAAUGCAGAUAUGUGCAUGCAUA
This 75-nucleotide microRNA precursor is filed under the name Octodon degus (degu). Its description in RNAcentral is "miRNA (ENSODEG00000022265.1)". Lineage: Eukaryota; Metazoa; Chordata; Mammalia; Rodentia; Octodontidae. The record is from RNAcentral.